This 429-nucleotide ribosomal RNA is filed under the name Actinomycetes bacterium. Its description in RNAcentral is "Actinobacteria bacterium partial 16S ribosomal RNA". It matches the Rfam family "Bacterial small subunit ribosomal RNA", at positions 355 to 776 of the family's 1533-position model. Lineage: Bacteria; Bacillati; Actinomycetota; Actinomycetes. The record is from RNAcentral.
UAGGGAAUCUUCCGCAAUGGGCGAAAGCUUGACGGAGCAACGCCGCGUGAGUGAUGAAGGUCUUCGGAUCGUAAAACUCUGUUAUUAGGGAAGAACAAAUGUGUAAGUAACUAUGCACGUCUUGACGGUACCUAAUCAGAAAGCCACGGCUAACUACGUGCCAGCAGCCGCGGUAAUACGUAGGUGGCAAGCGUUAUCCGGAAUUAUUGGGCGUAAAGCGCGCGUAGGCGGUUUUUUAAGUCUGAUGUGAAAGCCCACGGCUCAACCGUGGAGGGUCAUUGGAAGCUGGAAAACUUGAGUGCAGAAGAGGAAAGUGGAAUUCCAGGUGUAGCGGUGAAAUGCGCAGAGAUAUGGAGGAACACCAGUGGCGAAGGCGACUUUCUGGUCUGUAACUGACGCUGAUGUGCGAAAGCGUGGGGAUCAAACAGG